RNAcentral lists this ribosomal RNA (253 nucleotides) under uncultured bacterium. RNAcentral's name for it is "partial 16S ribosomal RNA". It matches the Rfam family "Bacterial small subunit ribosomal RNA", at positions 524 to 776 of the family's 1533-position model. The record is from RNAcentral.
UACGUAGGGGGCAAGCGUUGUCCGGAAUCAUUGGGCGUAAAGAGCGUGUAGGCGGCUCGAUAAGUCUGCUGUGAAAGUCCAGGGCUCAACCCUGGAAGGCCGGUGGAAACUGUCGGGCUAGGGUCCGGAAGAGGCGAGUGGAAUUCCCGGUGUAGCGGUGAAAUGCGCAGAUAUCAGGAAGAACACCAACGGCGAAGGCAGCUCGCUGGGACGGAACUGACGCUGAGGCGCGAAAGCGUGGGGAGCGAACAGG